UCUGGGUGCAGCGGCAUGCGUGCCUGUAGUCCUGGCUACUUGGGAGACUGAGGCAGGAGGCUCACUUGAGCCCAGGAGUUCAGAGUUGUAGCCCAUCAGGUGUCUGCACUAAGCUUGCCAUCAAUAUAGUGACCUCCUGGGAGUGGAGGACCACAGGUUCCCUAAGGAGGGGUGAACUGGUACAGGUUGGAAACAAGGGCAUGUUAAAAAAUACCAUGGGCACGGUAGCUCACGCCUGUAAUCCUAGCACUUUGGGAGGCUGCGGCGGGAGGAACAAUCGAGCCCAGGAGUUAGAGAUCAGCCUGGGUAAUGCAGUGAGAUCCUGUCCCUA
This is an unclassified non-coding RNA of Pongo abelii (Sumatran orangutan), 331 nucleotides long. It matches the Rfam family "Metazoan signal recognition particle RNA". Rfam says of the family: The signal recognition particle (SRP) is a universally conserved ribonucleoprotein. It is involved in the co-translational targeting of proteins to membranes. NCBI's taxonomy places the organism in Eukaryota, Metazoa, Chordata, Mammalia, Primates, Hominidae. The record is from Ensembl.